CCUGGGAUACCUUUCUCGUAGAGAACCCUAAGCGUGCAAUGUCUCUGAAUGGAAAAAUGAGAUGAAGUUGGGGGAACCCCUAAUGGGUUUCCGAUUGUGGUUAAGAGGCCUUGGGCCUGGUGUGGGUUGCUUCCUUUUUCUUCCUACGGAGAAGCAGUUCCUAUUCACACCCCCUUCCAUUUGGGUUG
Molecule: small RNA, 188 nt
Filed under: Vigna angularis var. angularis
Lineage: Eukaryota; Viridiplantae; Streptophyta; Magnoliopsida; Fabales; Fabaceae
Description: Non-protein coding transcript
Source: RNAcentral